This 429-nucleotide ribosomal RNA is filed under the name Chloroflexota bacterium. RNAcentral describes it as "Chloroflexi bacterium partial 16S ribosomal RNA". It matches the Rfam family "Bacterial small subunit ribosomal RNA", at positions 355 to 776 of the family's 1533-position model. Lineage: Bacteria; Bacillati; Chloroflexota. The record is from RNAcentral.
UGGGGAAUAUUGCACAAUGGGCGCAAGCCUGAUGCAGCCAUGCCGCUUGUAUGAAGAAGGCCUUCGGGUUGUAAAGUACUUUCAGCGGGGAGGAAGGGAGUAAAGUUAAUACCUUUGCUCCUUGACGUUACCCGCAGAAGAAGCACCGGCUAACUCCGUGCCAGCAGCCGUGGUAAUACGGAGGUUGCAAGCGUUAAUCGGAAUUACUGGGCGUAAAGCGCACGCAGGCGGUUUGUUAAGUCAGAUGUGAAAUCCCCGGGCUCAACCUGGGAACUGCAUCUGAAACUGGCAAGCUUGAGUCUCGUAGAGGGGGGUAGAAUUCCAGGUGUAGCGGUGAAAUGCGUAGAGAUCUGGAGGAAUAACGGGGGCGAAGGCGGCCUCCUGGGCGAGGACUGAAGGUCAGGUGCGAAAGCGUGGGGAGCAAACAGG